UCAAUUAGACCUUUGUGACCCUACUGCACCUAUCUGGAUAAUCCAGCAUAUCUGUGAUGGUCAAGAGCAUUAAUUUCAUCACUUGUGCAAAAGCCCUUUUGUAUUUAUGGUAAAAAGUCAAGCGUUCCUGGGAAUAGUAAGUACAAAUCUUUGGUAGUCCACUAUUUACCUGCCAUAUUAUAUAAGUCCGUAGGUUUAAAACUCUCUUUUUAAAAAAUAUUUCUUUUAUUCCUUGUAGUUGAACACAAUACCUUUAUUUCAUUCAUUUAUUUUUAUGUGGUGCUAAGGAUGGAACUCAGGGUCUCACACAUGCUAGGUGAGCGCUCUACUGCUGAGCCACAACCCCAGCCUCUGUCUUCUUAUUUUUUGAUAAAUCCAGAGCACAUGGAAAAGUAUAUCUAAAUGUAUAUCUUUUCUUUCUUUCUUUUUUUUAAUGAUUGGACAUUUUUAAACCAAAAUGAAAAUUUCACAAAAUCAUAAAGAGAAAUAUUUUUACAGAAGUAAGUUGCAUAAAAGUAAAGCUAAUAAACCAGGAUUUACUUUCCUUUGCCCCAGAAUGACUUUGUGUGAGAUAAAAUGUCCUACAAAAAUUAACAAAAAUUACAGAGUGGGAAAAAUGUUCAUGGUCCAUACAAUGUAUAAAGGAUAUUUUCAGAAUACAUAAAAGAGUGCUGGAAAUAAUCAGAGGUGCUGAUGCUUUGUCUAAGUAAUGGCCAGGGAGAUAAACAUUAAAACAAAAAUAUAGAUCCAAAUAUCCUAUAAUGUGUCAGUGGAAAGGCUGGGGUAUUAUUUGCUCAUGCAUUCUCUAGUGGAAUCCAAAUAUGUAUAACAUUUGGAAAUUAAAUGACAUCUGUAGGAGGUUAGAAAUAUUUCUACAACUAAAUAUUCUAGAGACAUAAUCACAAAUGCAUACAAAGAACCAUGUAUGAACAUGUUUUGAAUCAUGAUAUAAAAUAGGCAAUACUUGAUAGGGAAUGUAACUACACAUUAAAGAGAUGCUUAUGUUAGUUGGAGAACAACCAUAUGAGUCUUCAAAAAUGAAAAGAAUGAUGAUAUGAAACUUUGUAUAUAAGAUCCCCCUUACUACUUAUCUCUUCCUACACAGCUCCACUUGCCAUAGGUCACCAUGAUGCUCUCUUUAGAUCUUUGGACUCUGGGCAGCUCAUCUGUCAGGAAAAAUGUAGAAAAGUGCCACAGUCCGGCUGGCUGCAGCAAAAUAACUGGGGGGUGACGAAUAACUUGUGUAGAUUGAUACAGCAGGAGUGGGAGCCCUUUAUUGCAGGACAGGAGCAGUAUUUAUACAUUCCACACAGCUUAUCUAAUUAGCAUAAACUAGAUACAUCAGUCAACCAAUAAGGAAUCUCCACACUUAAUGGCUUGUUUUUGUUACUUCUCAAACCACUCCCUCUGGCAUUUUGCCAGGCACCAUCCAGACUUGUUUAUGAACUCUAACAUUCCCCUGGCAAAAUGCCAGGUGUUAUUUUGACUUGUUUACAGACUCUAACAGAAAAGUAGGCUCUAGUAUAAGAAAUCCAGAAGGUGAUUGGUAAAGAUGUAAGACUUGGGUAAACUCAUAACAAAAGCACUGAUUAAAUCUACCAAUGGAAGUGUUUAUUCAAGGAAAUAUUGCCAAUGAUCAGUUUAGCAUAUUUCUCAACUAACAUAUUCUUCCAACAAUUAUGGUAGCUAUUCUAAAACUUGUUCUCAAGUAUUUUCUAUAAAUUGUUGGACUUACAGAAUAGAGAGAGCAAAGUAUUGGAAGAAUCUUGAGACCCAAAUAAGUUUUGAGGAUUCAAGACAACCUUGAGGUGCAACCCACCCCAGACCUCAAUGAGCAAUACAAUGUUACAUUUCCCAUGGAGUAGGAACACCAAGAGAAGGGGAGCCGGUCAGUGCUCUAUCCUGCCUCUUGUUCCAUGUGUGUAUGACAGUUAUGUAAUUUAAUUUGCUAACAUUCUGAAGGAUGUUUAUUAAGUGUAGCUUUAGAGACAGAAGACUUCAUGCGCUGCUCUCACUUUCUUUUAUAAGCCAUGAAAUGCUUUUUUCCAUGGAUCAACGUUUUUUUCCAUUCUUGACAGCUUUAUUUCCUCAGCAGGUUUUCAUCCAAGUUCCCUGAAAGUCUGAAUUCAGAAUAUUUUUGAAAUAGUAUUCAGCUUUUAUAAAGGAAAAAGAAAAAAAAAAAAAACACUUUCUCACUGAGCCAAGUUUCAAAUCUUUUAUCUGCUCCAUCUGUCUCCUACCCUCAUCCUGAGAUAACUUUUCAUGUUACUCUCCGUCUUCCCAGGCUUGAUGGCAACACAUUUGAUAAUAUUGUUCUUUUUUCUUGAGAACUUACCAGUGGAUCUAUCUCUAUUUUCAUAGCAUUUGUUGUAGAAUUCCAGAUACUUCCAUCAUCUCUGGCCAGGCUUGCAUUCUGAGUCUCAUUUUUUUCCCCAUUCUCUAUUAAUAACACUCCAUCUCCCUCCCCCUCUCCCCCUCGCUCUAGUUCUCCACCACUCCCACCUUCAACAGAGAUAUGACUUGUGUAAUAAUUAUUUGCAUGUGAAGAACACUCUUUUAUUUAGUCUGACUUACUUCAACACACUUGGCUGGUCUUCUUAUGUUUCUGUUGAUUUGUUGGCUGUUUAUUUCUUUUUUUCUUUUCAUAGUGAUCUUUCUCUUCAUAUUCUACAUUAUUCUUUUAUCUUCUCAUCGUUUUCUAGUUUGUAUUUCUUACCAAUGAAAACUGAGAGCCAUAAUAAGAUAGAUUAAUCUUUAGGAAAAUAAUUUGUUUUCUUAAUAUAAUCAUGAAAAAUCUGUAGGCUUUUUAAUAUUUCAUACUUGCAAAAACUUUCACUUUACCCUGUCAUUAAUAACACCUGUGGUAUGACUAAAGAUAAUUCCCUAUUUAAUUUAGGUAAGUAUUGGCAUAAUUAAUACCCUUAUUCCAAUAUAUUUAAUAGUUUUUGAAUCUUUGUUUAAUAAAAUUAGUGUGUGGUUUAGAAAAUAUUAGAGAAUAAAUAAUUUUAUUAUAAUUUCUUUGUGAAUAUAAUUCAAAUAAUUUAAUAUUUGUUAACACCGUAUUUACUUUCCUCAUUAGUGAAGUGAAAAUGUCCUUACAUUGUACAAUACCUUUAGGGUGGAAGAGCUCUGGCACAAUGCUAGAAGAUUCAUAGAUUCAGUAGAGGGCGCUAUAUAGCAUGCUCUUGCAGCCUCAGUUUUUAUUUUUUAAUUUAAUUUGUAAAAACUCAAUGAAUCAAAGAGAGGCUAGUCCCCUUCUUACAGGACCCUCAUAGAGCAAGUAUUUCAAUCUGAGAGCCUGGAGAGUUUCUUUUAUACUUUGUUUUGCUACAGCUCAAUUGUUCAAUUUCUUCCUAGGGAAGCGGUGUGUUCACAGGGAAGGUCAAGACUCUCUGACUUUUGCAUAUUCCAAUUUGCCCAUUAUUAUUUUUGAGCCAUUCUUCUCUAUAUCUUUGUUCUUGGAAGGAAGCUCUAGUGUAUAAUCUGUCAAGAAAGAACUGCAUUUCCUUCUGUGCUUCAUCCUCCUUUUGCUGUCAUUAAGUGUGCACUUGACUGUCACCUUUGCUCCAAAGACUUACAACAUUACCUACUGUCCUUCCAACUACCAUAAAGGGUAUCAGUUCCUUUAAAAAAAAAAAAUAUAUAUAUAUAUAUAUAUAUAUAUAUAUGUAUAUAUAUAUAUAUAUAUAUAUAUAUAUUUGGUGUACAAAUUUUAAAACAAUGUUAUUGAGAACUAAUUUUCUUUUCUUUGUAAAAUAAAAUUCACUCAUUUUUAGUAUGCAGAUUAAAGCACUCUGACAAAAGUAUACAAUGGGAUAGCCCUUACCACAAGCAUGGUAUUGAAUGAUUUGGCCUUUUCCCUAAAUUCCUGUGUGGUUCCAUGCUGGAUGUUCGUCCAUAACAUGAGCUAACAGAUCAUGUGUUCUCUCUGGAUAGUUUUGAUUGCUCAGUGUUUUUAGCAAUUAAUCUAUGUCCUCCAAAUAUAAAUCCUUUCCUCUUUUUCAUUGUUUAGUAUUAUUUCACUGUAUGCAUAUGUCAAACUGUGCUUAUCCAUUCUGUAUUUGAUGGGUAUAUAGAUGGUUGCCAGUUCUGAAUUAUAAUGAAUAAAAUUCUUAGGCAAACAAGGCAAAUAAGGCUUCACAUGGAUGUAUGGUUUGAUAUUUCAUUGUAAGUAGAAUUGCUGGUUCAUGUAGUGGUAAUUCUAUUAAGAAUUAGCCAAAUCAUUUUCCAUGGUGGUUGUCAAAAGUCAUAUUCUCCCCAGUAAAAUAUGAAAGUUCUAGUUCCACAUUCCAUUAAACUUGUUUUAGCCAAUUUUUAUAAUCUAUGGUUUUUCUAGAAAGCACUAUCUCAUGGUGGUUUUAAUUGUCAUUUUCUUAAUGAUUAUGAGAAACUGAUGUGACUCCAUUUUUGAGAAACCAGCUUCUACCUCAAGGCCUGUCCUAAGGAAGGGGGUGUGACCUUUGUCCUGGGAAAAACCCACAGAGCACUCCUAAGUACCCACCCUGCUGAGUUGUUUGUCUAUAAAUAACAGGAGAGAUCUGCAGCGCCAGGUGUCCCUGACUCAGUCAGGCUAGGUGAGGACCCAUAGCAACCUCCUAGCAACCUCCAAUCAACAUGAGACAGGGAAAAUACCUGGGAUGCCAGAUGACCCCCAGUAGUUUAUGGUGGUUGAUAACAUGUUGGGAAACCAUGUAGUUUAGCACAUAUACCCCUUGUGGCUUAAACCAAUCAGUUCAAAGGAAUCUCCCACUUGUACUAACCAAUCACUCCUACCCAACUUGUUCCUGCUAGUGAAUGUGCUAAUCAAUGUUAAGAGUUGUUGUUUGACUUUCCGUGAUGUGAAAUUAUUUGCUGUGUGAUGUUGUGACACAUAGAGUAUCCCCCGACAACCUAUAAAAUCUCACUGAACAAAGGACAGACUCACUCCCUGGGACUGCUGCUUUGGAAACGGUUGUGAGUCCAGGCUCGAGCUUGCAAUAAAGAAUCUAGUGUGAUUGCAUUGGAUUCGUCUCCUGGAGGUAUAUUGGGUCCCACGAAUCUGGCAUUAAAUUGACAGUGUUAAACAUAUUUCACGUGCUUAUUCAGUUUUUAUUAUAUGAGUGUGUGCUCAUCAUUUUUUUUUUGUACCUGGGAUUGAACCCAGGGGUAACUUAACCAUUGGGCAACAUUCUUCAGCCAGUUUUUAUUUUAUUUUAUUUUAUUUUUAAUUUUGAGACAGGUUCUCCUUAUAAUGCUUAAGGUCAUGCUAAAUUGCUAAUGAUGGCUUUGAACUUGUGAUCCUCCAGCCUCAGCCUUCGGAGCCACUGGGAUUACAGGGGUGUGCCACCUGCCCAGCACCCCUCAACUGUUCUUGAACUAUGUGUUAAUUAUUUGUUUGUAGGAGCUAUUUUUUUUUCAUAUAAUAAAACACCAGUUCUCAACUAUAAUUUUCAUUAACUAAUAAAAUAAAGAAUGUAGAACAAACUUAUCAACAGAAAAAGAUGUUUCAUCUUUCAUUUUCUUAACUAAUCUAGCAUAAAUAGAGAUUUUAUCAUUUCAAUCUACUACCUCAACUAGAUUUCUGAAAUGAUCUAAUAUUUUAAAUAGAGGAUGAGCCAAGGUUAACACAAACCUUGUUUAAAACAUUGGUGAUACACUUACUGACACUGUUUAGCAAUUUGUUCGAUUUCUCUGGAAAUUAUUUGCCUCAUUAAAAAAAAAAAAGUAUAUCCAAACUUAGAGGCCAUUAUAAAGAAUAAAAGUGAUUGGGUCUCUCUGUGUAGGGCAUUUAGAGAGAGAUUCAGUCUUUUUCAGAAUAAAAACUUAGGCUUGAACACAGUGGUGCAUUCCUGUAAUCCCAAAAGCUUGGGAGACUGAGGAAGGAGGAUCACAAUUUCAAAACCAGCCUUAAAAUUUUUGCAAUGCACUGUCUCAAAAUUAAAAAAUAAAAAUAAAAGAAAAGAAAGGGGAUUUGGUUCAGUGGCUAAGCGCUGCUAGGGUCAAUUCCUGAUCCUAAAAGUAAAUAAAUAAAUUGAUAGAUAAAAGUGCUUGGUAAUUUCAGUUCCAUUUUUAUCGCUGGCCAUUGAAUUUCUAAAGUAAAUAUUAUGCAAUUUAAGUUUAAAAAUCCAGUUUGAAUCAUAAAUAGAAUGAAGAAAUACAUAAAAUGUGAUUAAUUAAUUAAUUUCUUUUUUUUGUAAUUUUGGCAAGAAGUAGUUAAAUCGUUUAGCCUUUACAGUCAGUGGCACUAGAUGAUAAUUUUGUAAGAUAGUGGCAGUAUGAAAAAAAUCAAAUAAGAUUUAAAUUGCAUUUGAUAAGGAAACUAUAUUCUUUUAAGUUUCAACUUUUCUUAGUGCAGGAAGCAAAUUAAUUCUGUAGAAGUAAGUCUAUAAUUAUACUACCAUAGAACUUAUAAACACAACAUGUCAUAGUUUUUCUUGAAAUGCAUUUAUGUAUGUUUACCCACACUCUUCGAAUUAUAUAGUUGGUUAUAUGAGUAGUCUGCAAUCUUAAAAAGUGUUGGCUUAACAAUAACUCAAAUUCUACAUUCACAAUUCAUGGAGGAAAAAAAAAAACAAGAUUAUCAGGUUUGAAUUUAAACUUUGUUUGGGCAAAGCUAAAUGAAACUUGCCUUUACUUCCAUCACUAAGAAGUUUCUGUUCCUUUAUAACAUAUAUUUUUAAAAUGCUUUUGCCUUUACUUCCAUCACUAAGAAGUUUCUGUUCCUUUAUAACAUAUAUUUUUAAAAUGCUUAGAAAUAAUCAAGUUUCUGCAGAUCUAGCAAUUCUCAAAACGUGAUAGACCUUUGAAAUUAAUAUAUGUAGCGCUGAAGUGUUUAAAAUUAAAUAGAGGAAAUUAUGUUUGUGCUUAAUGAUUUCAAAAAGUGUCCUUAGAUAUGUCAUCAUCAAUACAAUCUAUAAAAGAAAAAAAAAAUGAAUAUAUUGUACUUCACCAAAAUAAUCUGUUUCUUUAUACCUGACCCUAAUGAAUCAGACAACAAGCCAAAGGCUGGAACACAAAGCUUCAUACCACAUAUAGAACCAAGCACUUGUAUUCAAAAUCCAAGAAGAACUCUAAAUUCAAUGGUGAGAAACAAAUCCAAAUGAGAAGCUGGGCAAGAGACUUGGGGUGUCAGUUCCCAAAAAAGAAUAAGUUGAUGGAAAAUAUGCACAGGAGUUCUUCAAUGUUAUUAACCAUUAAGAAACACAAAUUAAAGGUGCAGUGACAAACUAUAAAACAUUAAAAUGGCUAAAGUAAAACAUAUUGACCACCCUAAAAUCUGGUGGGGUUGUAGAAAGGCUAGAAAUUAUACUACUUCAGCUUGCAAAACACUACUUGUCUAAUGAAAUUAACUCUAGGCUUACUGAAAGACUUAGUCAAUGUUCUCUUUAGCAUUUAUUCUGCAUAAAUAUUUUCAUACAAAGACCUGUACAUAAACAUCUAUAGCCAUUUUAUUUGUAAUAGAUGCUCACUGGAAGAAACUUAGGCCCUUCAAUAGAUGAAGGAGUAAACAAACUAUGCUCUAUUUAUACCAUGGAAUACUACCUUACAAUAAUAAAGAAUGAUCUAUUGACACAAACUUUAAUAUUUCUUCAGUUCCAACUUGGAUGGAACUCAGAGGCAUUACACUGAAUGAAAUAUAUCAAUCUUACUCAUAUGAAACUCUUGAAGUGACAGCAUUGUAAUAAUGAAGAGGAGACUAUUGCUUGCUUGCUAGGUUAGGCCUGGAAAGGAAUUACUAUUAAGGGGUUAUAUGAAGGUGCUUGUCAGUAGUGGUCCAAGAAUUCUGCAUUCAAAUUGUGGUGUUGGCUACUCAAAUAUACAUGUUUGAUGAAUGUUCAUAGAACUAAACAUCUGAACAGUGAAUGCAAAAACUGGGUGAAAUCUGAACAAGAUCUGUUACUGAGUUUGUACUUGUUAAUAAUCAAUGUCCUGGUGUGACAAUGUACUAUACCUAUAUAAUUAGAUUUUAUCAAUGAGAGAGGAAAAUGAAGAGUAUAUGAAAAGUGUAAAUUACUUUUUACCUAUUUGGGACUUUUAAAAUAAUAUAAAAUUUUAGAAUAUAAAUUUUAAAAAGUUGCAUCCAUAAAAGAACAGUUUUGGUAAAUAAUAAUAGUAGGAAUUUUUGCAUUGGUAUUGAGUGAGGUUCCCUCAUCUUUGCAUCUCAUUUGCUCUCCUAGGGCUGCCAAUGGUGGCAAGAUCCACUGUGCAAAGUCAGGAAAUGGAGACAACAUUCCAACAUGUAACCUGUGUGUGUAGAAAGGAGACACAAGGCAAGUUGUUGGUCUAACCAUCCUCAAAAGGGGAAAGGGUUGAGCAGGGAGGAGCAUCAUUUGAGAAGUAGAGUUUCUACAGAAAUCUUGCAGCUUGAACUAGCAAGUAAAGUCUUACUCCGGACCCUGAAGUGAACAUGUCUUGCUGGAAUAUCCGGACAAAUGCUCAAUAUUAAAUAAGAAUGGCAGUGGUAUCCCAUUUUUUCAACCUGUAUCUUAUCUGCUACAUCUGAUGAUUCAUAGCCUUAAGAUUUACUGACACUUGACUUCUACUUUCCCUCUAGUGCGAAUAUCACAACCUAAGAGCUAGAGUCACAAACUCUAAGAAGGGAGAAGUCACUGGCCCAGCCACAUAGUUUGUGAGCACUGGUUCAUAUUAUGCCAUAGUCUAUGGCAUGUAAACACAUCUCGAUCUUUUAAGUUUACCUAUUCAUGAUUCUGCAGAAUCAUAGCAAAAUUUAAAUAAGCCAAGGAACACAAUAUACAAUUUUCAGCUUUCUAAACUCAGGUUUUCAUAAGACUACCCUUUUCUGAAUUACAUUAUCAUUUUCCAUUGUACACAUUACUUUUAUUCCAUUGAUCUAGCAAUAGAAAAAAUGAACUAUUAUUUCUGGAACCACUCACCAACACUAAUCAAAUAACAGGCAUGCUCCUCUGAAAUGUAAUAUUAUUUUCUUUUGGUGUUAUAUAGUAAAAGGCAAUGAUAAUAGAAACAGGACCAGCCUACUAUUUUUUAAAACUUAGAGUUAUACUCUAAAUUGUCUAAGCCUGAAAUAUCACAUCAAAACUUAGUUGAAUUAAUCUAUUGUACUGAAACAAAAGCAUUUGCUUCAGAAUUAGAGGGUGGCAAGAUCUCAACUGCAUUAAUCCUGUGAAAACUUAACUCUGGUAAACAUUUUUAAAGGUUAUUCAGCCUCAUACAGACAUGAGUAAUUUAAGUCCAACUGAUGUUACAACGAAAAUGUGUCUAAGUGGUACUGCUUAGCCAUUGAAAUUACAAGUCAUCAAAAAGAUGAAUAGAGAACAG
Molecule: transfer RNA, 9276 nt
Filed under: Marmota monax (woodchuck)
Lineage: Eukaryota; Metazoa; Chordata; Mammalia; Rodentia; Sciuridae
Source: RNAcentral